RNAcentral lists this ribosomal RNA (515 nucleotides) under uncultured Gram-positive bacterium. RNAcentral describes it as "bacterial SSU rRNA". It matches the Rfam family "Bacterial small subunit ribosomal RNA", at positions 8 to 521 of the family's 1533-position model. The record is from RNAcentral.
AGAGUUUGAUCCUGGCUCAGGAUGAACGCUGGCGGCGUGCCUAACACAUGCAAGUCGAACGGAACUAUUUUGGAAACUCCUUCGGGAGCGGAAUCUUUAGUUUAGUGGCGGACGGGUGAGUAACGCGUGAGCAAUCUGCCUUUAAGAGGGGGAUAACAGUCGGAAACGGCUGCUAAUACCGCAUAAAGCAUUGAAUUCGCAUGUUUUCGAUGCCAAAGGAGCAAUCCGCUUUUAGAUGAGCUCGCGUCUGAUUAGCUGGUUGGCGGGGUAACGGCCCACCAAGGCGACGAUCAGUAGCCGGACUGAGAGGUUGAACGGCCACAUUGGGACUGAGACACGGCCCAGACUCCUACGGGAGGCAGCAGUGGGGAAUAUUGCGCAAUGGGGGAAACCCUGACGCAGCAACGCCGCGUGAUUGAAGAAGGCCUUCGGGUUGUAAAGAUCUUUAAUCAGGGACGAAAAAUGACGGUACCUGAAGAAUAAGCUCCGGCUAACUACGUGCCAGCAGCCGCGGU